GACGAACGCUGGCGGCGUGCUUAACACAUGCAAGUCGAACGGAAAGGCCCUGCUUUUGUGGGGUUCUCGAUUGGCGAAGGGGUGAGGAACACGUGAGUAACCGGCCCUUGACUUUCGGGGAACUUCACGAAACUGGGGCUAAUACCGUAUAGGAUCUCCUGCUGCAUGGUGGGGAGUGGAAAGUUGCGGCUUUUGGGGCUGGACUCGCGGCUUAUCAGCUUGUUGGUGGGGUAGUUGAUGACCAAGGCUUUGACGGGUAGGCGGCCCGAGAGGGUGACCGGCGACCUUGGGCCUGCGAUACGCAGCAGACGCCUAUGGGAGGUAGUAGUGGGAAAUCUUGCCCAAUGGGCCGGAGUCUGAUGAAGAAACGCCCGGUGCGGGAUGACGGCUUUUGGGUUAUAAACAGCUUUCGCCUGUGACGCCGCGUGAGUGACGGUACCGGAUAAAGAAGCACCGGCUAACUACGUG
Molecule: ribosomal RNA, 468 nt
Filed under: uncultured bacterium
Lineage: Bacteria
Description: partial 16S ribosomal RNA
Rfam family: Bacterial small subunit ribosomal RNA
Source: RNAcentral